GGCAGCAUAUGCUGAGGAGUGACAGGAAGGGAUUUUUCAUCCCUUGGCCAAGGAGUUUCCCAUGCUGAUAGAUCAUUACACCAGCAUCCUGGGAUUCUGCUCAGCCUUUCAAAUACAAGUCCUCCGUUUGCUCUUCUAGUGUAGUUGAUUGAGGAUAGAGUGGAUACGUGAAACACCAUGGGCGUCUAACCGAUCAAACUGGUGGGUCCCGUGGACUUCUUUUAUUCCCCACAGAUCCCACUGCAAGCAGUUGUAGCCCCCCUUAAAGACAUUCCCGUAUGUUUUGGUACAAGGACUUGCAAGCCCUUUGAGUUGUGGUUUCCAAUUUCAUAUGUUAUCUGUCUUCCUGUUUUCAGAGAUUCCUCAAUAUUUCUUAGUCAUAUCGACACUUCUUAAUUUGGGGGGCUGUUAAAGAUUUCAUUUAUCUAUAAUUUAAUGUCAUUUCUAGAGAAUUUGAUGAGAGAGUGAAAGGUGGGUGUGCUCAGUUCAUUAUUUGACUUCUAUUUUGCAGAUAAGAUGGAUUGUGUUUCUCUAGAUGAAAAUUGUUUUUUGUUGAAAUCGGUUUCUAUUUCCAAUAAUGUCCAAGUUCUCUCAUAUUUACUUUGCUAUUGUUGUCUUAUUUUAUUUGAUGUAUCUUUGAUCUCUUCUCUGCAGUCUGAUCAGAAGAAUUAUCCAUGUCAUUUUCACUCAUCUAAGCAAGAGGAAGUCCAGUAAAGAAAGAGAACUGAAGGAGAGACCAGAUAGCCAUUUGUCUUCAGAGUCACUUACGUUCUGUUCAUGUCUCCAUUUGCUAAAUUUCUUUGAGUACCCAUGAAGAUGAACUGGCAUGUCAUCAGGUUACUCACAGCUGGGCUGACUUGGGGGAUUUUACCUUUGGAUCUGAGAGUACAAACACUUUCAUCAAUAUUCUAUUUCCCAAAGAUGUUGAUGAAUGCCAGACCCCAGGAAUCUGCAUGAAUGGACACAGCGUCAACAAUGAAGGGUCCUUCCGCUGUGACUGUUCCCCAGACCUGGCUGUGGGUGUGGACAAACGUGUGUGUGUUGGAGGAAGGGCAGCAGCCUACCAGUGCAGCUCUGAUUCUCUUUGCCACCUGAAGACAAAACUUCAGUAAGCACGUUAUCUCCAGGUAUGAGGAAGAACCCCUGGCUUCCCUCGAUGUUGUGCACGAACUUUCUACCCUGGAAGUCUGACUUGUGCGGAUGUCCUCUCCCCUCUGGCCU
Molecule: long non-coding RNA, 1221 nt
Organism: Ailuropoda melanoleuca (giant panda)
Lineage: Eukaryota; Metazoa; Chordata; Mammalia; Carnivora; Ursidae
Exons: 5
Source: RefSeq, a predicted model, not a curated record